This 226-nucleotide long non-coding RNA is filed under the name Panax ginseng (ginseng). Its description in RNAcentral is "long non-coding RNA (PGIN_LNC014498)". Lineage: Eukaryota; Viridiplantae; Streptophyta; Magnoliopsida; Apiales; Araliaceae. The record is from RNAcentral.
UAAUCUCUAAACUAACAACAGAUUUCAAACAAGCCAAACACCUACUCACCCUUCCCCCACCAAUAAAAAUGGAACACCAGGAAGAAAAAUAAUAAUACUAAUAAAAAAGUCUCCGCUCCAUUCCUUUUAAAUUUUCUUUUUUUGUGAGAAUUUUUUUGUUUCUUUUUAUCUCAUUCGUUAAGUUUAAAAAAAACAACAACAUAAUUUACUUAGUUUCCCAAAUUAC